Molecule: RNA transcript, 5179 nt
Organism: Cynoglossus semilaevis (tongue sole)
Lineage: Eukaryota; Metazoa; Chordata; Actinopteri; Pleuronectiformes; Cynoglossidae
Gene: eps15
Gene name: epidermal growth factor receptor pathway substrate 15
Exons: 25
Source: RefSeq, a predicted model, not a curated record
CUCGGCGAAAAUCCAGUGCCGUGUUUUGCAGCGGCCUCUGUCUGUUUCUGGCAGCAGUGCAGCGUGAAAGCAGUGGGAAACAGAAACACUAUGGCUGCCACUCUGUCUCUUACUCAGCUAUCCAGUGGAAAUCCUAUCUAUGACAAAUACUACAGACAGGUUGAUCCUUCUGGGAGUGGACGGGUGGCGGCAGCAGAUGCAGCCCUGUUCCUGAAGAGGUCAGGCUUGGCUGACCUGGUCCUGGGGAAGAUUUGGGAUUUGGCAGACACUGAACGUAAAGGAUUUCUCAGCAAACAGCAAUUUUUCGUAGCACUGCGGUUGAUAGCCUGUGCUCAAAAUGGAUUGGAGGUGGCGCUAAAGAGCCUUAAUGUAGCAGUUCCUCCUCCCAAGUUUCAUGACACUAGCAGCCCACUCUUGGCUGGAGGGGUGGCCAUUGAUAUACCCUGGGUUGUAAAGCCUGAGGAGAAGAUGAAGUUUGACUCCAUCUUUGACAGUCUCGGUCCAGUGGGAGGAAUGUUGACAGGAGACAAAGUGAAGCCUGUGCUGCUGAACUCCAAACUGCCAGUGGACAUCCUUGGCAGGGUAUGGGAGCUCAGUGACCUGGACAGAGACGGCAUGUUAGACAGAGAUGAGUUUUCUGUGGCCAUGUACUUGGUGUACAGAGCUUUGGAGGGGGAGUCCGUUCCUAUGUCCCUACCACCUCCCCUGGUCCCACCCUCCAAGCGGAAAAAACCUUCGGUGCCUCCUGUGAUGCCCCUGCUACCCUCACCCCCUUCUGUCAAAGACAGUCGCUCCUCCCACGCUGGCUCAAAGACCAUGCCCCACCCUCCUAAACCCACCCCAGCUCCUGUCCCAUCACCAGCAGUGGUUUCUUGGGUGGUGUCACCAGCGGACAAAGCCAAAUACGAUGAACUCUUCACCAAGACGGAUGGAGACAUGGACGGACUGGUGUCUGGACCUGAGGUCAGGGAUAUCUUCCUGAAGACCGGGCUUCCCUCUGCUACGUUAGCACGCAUCUGGGAACUUUGUGACAUUGGAGACAUUGGUAAACUGACCAGAGAGCAGUUCGCCCUGGCGCUCUAUCUGAUCAAUCAGAAGCUGACCAAAGGCUUGGAUCCUCCACAGAACCUCACCCAAGAGAUGAUCCCUCCAUCUGACAGACAGAACAUGAAGAGCAAUGCAGCAAACCUGGCAGCUGACUUCUCAGCCAUCAAAGAGCUGGACUCCCUCAGCAAUGAGAUUGUUGAGUUGCAGCGGGAGAAGAGCUCUGUGGAACAGGAGGUCAAAGAGAAGGAGGAGGCCAUCAGACAACGCAGCAGUGAAGUACAGGACCUACAAGAUGAGGUGGCAAAGGAAAGUGGGGAACUGCAGCAGCUCCAGACCCAGCGUCAGAGGGUCCAGGAGGCCUUAGACGAAUUGGACCAACAGAAGUCCUCCUUGGAAGAGCAGCUGGCACACAUUCGUCAACAGACAACACAAGAGACACAACUGAUUUCCUCACUGCAAUCAGAGCAUGAAGAACAGGAAAACAGGAUAUGUCAGUACGAAGAGGAGCUUGUUCAGGCACGGGAAGAACUCCUUACUCUGCAGGAAGAGAGCAGAAAGCUGCAGCAGAAAGUCCAGGCUGCCCAGGAGCAGCUCACACCUUUACAGGAGUCAGUGCGAGACUCCUUUAAACAAGUCGCUCAGGUUCAACAAAAGGUGAACGACCUCCAGAUUGAGGAGCGAUCUGUUACUGCUCAGCUCAGCUGGAAGAGAGCCUUGGAGGACAACUCUCCUGUCAUGGUCAAUGGUUCCACAGGCUACACAGCAGAGGCCCAUGAGUCGGACCCCUUCCAGCAGGACCUGUUUGUGGACGAUCAGCCCAAAGACCUGAGAGAGGAGGAAACAGGUCCUGUCUGUGGUCUUCAGAAUGAGCAGAACGAAAGAAAAGUCAAUGAGGAUGAAGAUGAGGUGGAGAAAGAAGAGAAGAUUCUAAAUACCGUGGAUGAAGAAAAGCCCAAACCAGAUGCUUUAGAUGAUCUCUAUACCUGUCUGGCUUCCUCUGAUUUGUAUAAUAGUCUGUCAACAUUAGAGAAACGAAGGGAGAACACACUGAAGGAGAACAGUAGCAGCGAUGUCUCUGCAGAUGUUGCUGACGAUGAGAACAAAUCCUCUACAGAGAGUCCACAAAAGGUAGCAUCAUUAGACCAGGAGAACAAACAGGAGCCAGCAGAAUCCCCAGAAACCCCCUCCUCUCCAGCUGGGCCCAUGCCACCACAGACCAGCCCUCCCUCCCUCCCAGAGAUGGAUUUCUUCAAUGCAGAUCCUUUCACUGAUCAUGAUCCAUUUAAAGACGAUCCCUUUGGGAAAGGAUUAGCAGAUGUCACAGAUCCAUUUGGAGGUGAUCCUUUUAAAGGGACAGACCCAUUUGCUGCAGACAAUUUCUUCACACAAACCUCUAGUGCCCCCUUUUCCUCCGAGGACCCUUUUAUUCCCUCUGCUGAUCCAUUUGGUACAACAACAGGCGGACCUGAAACAGACCUGUUUGCAGCCAAGCUGAGUGAUGCAGCUCCUGUACUGACAGCAGGCUCUGAUCCCUUCACCUCCAAACCAUCCAAUCCAGCUGCAGCAGCGAAGGAUCCUUUCACCACUAAAGGAAACAACAUGGGUGACUCUGAUCCAUUCGGAGGCAAAGCCAACGCCUUGGCAGAGGCAGAUCCUUUUGGUUCUCACAGUGGAGCAGAUCCAUUCAGUUGUUCUCCAGUCAACUCAGACCUGGCAGUGAAAGACACCGCAGCAGCCAAUGAUCCUUUUGCUCCUGGUGGUACGACAGGAAAUGCCAGCUCAGAUCCAGAUCCCUUUGCUGUUGUGUUUGGUAACGAGUCAUUCGGCGGAGGCUUUGCAGAUUUCAGUGCCUUGACGAAGUCAAACGGCGCUGACCAUUUUGUCAUCAACAAUAAGAACCUAUUCCAGGAGGAAAGUCAGUCUUCUGUCCCCGAUGUGCCGCCUGCUCUUCCCCCCAAAACGGGUACGCCAACCAGACCUCCCCCUCCACCUCCAGGUAAGAAAUCAUCUAUGUCCAGAACGGAGUCCUCUGACUCCUUUCAGCGUCGUGGACACUUCCUCCCCCAGUCUUCAGGAGACCUCUCCUCCUCCUCCUCCUCGACAUCCCUGCCUGCUAAGGAUCCUUUAGCCGACCCCUUCGCCCCAUCCUCCCCUCCUCUUCACAACAUACGGGAAUCUGACCGGUUUGCCAGCUUUGACAAAGUGAGCACCUCCCUCUCGCCCUCACCCUCACCCUCAUCUCCAUCUGACUCUGAAUGAACACCCCACUCUCCCCUUGUUUCUCCUGGUAUUUAAAAAUAAAAUUACGUUUAACUGUUCUAAUCCUUACGAGCCAGCCUCAUUAAUCACUCCAUCCACUGUCAAUUUAAAACAGCUGAAAACUGAACCACCCUGCUGACGUGCAGCAUCACAAACUAACAGUGCUGUUUUGAUAGUGUUUUAGAAACUAUUUUUGGUAACAAGACUCAUGCAGACUAUCAAAUCACCUUGUACCAUCGCUGCUGGUGUAAAGAUUUUGAUCAUGAGUGCUUUGUUUCUUUAAAUUAUGACGUGAAAAGCUACAAACAAAAAUCUAUAAUUUGUUGCCAUGUCCCUCAGACUGGUUGACACUCAGUCUGUCACAAUAACCACCAUUUUAAAUAGAUAAAAAUAAACUUGCCCUUGACUUUGGCUUUACAUGUGUUACAGUGAAAUAAAUCCCCAACACCGUUCUCACCUGUAAGUCUGCCAUCAGUACAUGUGUGAGAUGCGGUGGUGGUUAUACACAGGCAAGCUGUGGCACAGUUUACUCUAAAUUUUAUUGCUACAUUUUUACAAAUCACUACCAAAGAAGAACUUGUUGGCAGCGGAUGGAGAGAUGAGCUGCUGCUCGUGUUUGGCUUUUUUUUCCCACCAUCCCAACUCUGCACUCACACUGCUGUACAUCCUGUGCUUCUAAGGAUGUGUGUUGUGUUAAACUGUGCUACUGGUAACUCAUUAAUAUCUAACUAUAUAUUCAAAGCUAUAAAUGGUGCUGUUAUGGAGUACUGACAGUCAGACCAGAACUGCAGUAUUUGGUCUAACCUGCAGUUGUCCUUCAACUUGUUGUUAUGAAAGUACCCCAGCUGUUAGAAAGUCAAAAUCUGGGAAAUGAAACUAAAGGUAGUGUUUGAAAAUAUACUUUACUCAAAAUGUCAUGUCAACUGCAGUGCAACAUGACCCCACUGCAUGUGAUUUAAUACAAUCAUUGUGGUCAAAUCAGAAACGAUUUAUUCCCCCAGAUUCUUUCCAACCCGUUCGUUAACUCUUCUCUCAUAUACAGUAUACCUCGUGUCCCACUACUCUGAUUUCUGAGCCUGGGUAACAGACUUUAGCACCCUCUGCUGUUUGCUCCACUCUUUGGCUGCAAAUCCACAUUUGGAGAGGGUUUUAUCAUGUAUUGUUACAGUAAUAUAUUAAAGGUUUAAUGAUCAAGUACAAACAGGACACACUCUAAAAAGGUCAGGUCUAUUUCUGCCACGUCCUGUGCUGUUGUAGAUUUGGGAUGGUGACUCUUCUUCUUUUAUGGCGUCCGCCUCUACAUAACUGCACCUGCAUGUGCCUGUUGAUACUCGACCUGCAUGAUGUGUGUGUGUGUGUGUGUGUCAUAUCAGCUCACGCUCAUUAUCUCAAACCACCGCCUCCACUCUUCCUCAGUCGCUCUCGUAGAUCAGUCUGUACUUCCUCUAGCACAGCUCUGUUUUACCAGUUUAUUCAGCUCCUAUCUGGUCAUCAGUAUGUUAUAAAGUAUUACGAUCACCUGUACUCUCUGUCGGUGUGUUGGUGCGCACGCAUGUCUGUGUGUGUGUGUGUGUGUGUGUGAGAGAGUGUGUCAUUUUACACAUUUGUUAAAUAAAUAUAAUAAAGCGUUAAAUCAAGGGAACCAACUGUGGCUUCUAUACUGAAUGUCUACAUCCAUGACAACACUAUUUGUAGGAGUUUGCCUUUUGAACCAAAGUAUUUUUAAUUAUUUGUCUUUUUCUCAUCUGUGACUGCACAUUGUGUUGGUGCAACUUUAAAACUUCCAGAAACUUCAUUAGGAUUUAUUUUGGUGGCAUUAACGUCUGAUCUAACUCCUACAACCGACCAAAAAUAAAAGCAUGUUAUUUUAUGA